This 463-nucleotide ribosomal RNA is filed under the name uncultured bacterium. RNAcentral describes it as "SSU rRNA". It matches the Rfam family "Bacterial small subunit ribosomal RNA", at positions 26 to 518 of the family's 1533-position model. The record is from RNAcentral.
AGGACGAACGCUGGCGGCGUGCUUAACACAUGCAAGUCGAGCGAGACUUCGGUCUAGCGGCGAACGGGUGAGUAACACGUGGGCAACCUGCCCCGAGCUCUGGGAUAACUCCGGGAAACCGGGGCUAAUACCGGAUACGACCCGAGAAGACAUCUUCUCGGGUGGAAAGUUUUUCGGCUCGGGAUGGGCCCGCGGCCUAUCAGCUUGUUGGUGGGGUAACGGCCUACCAAGGCGACGACGGGUAGCCGGCCUGAGAGGGCGACCGGCCACACUGGGACUGAGACACGGCCCAGACUCCUACGGGAGGCAGCAGUGGGGAAUAUUGCGCAAUGGGCGAAAGCCUGACGCAGCGACGCCGCGUGAGGGAUGAAGGCCUUCGGGUUGUAAACCUCUUUCAGCAGGACGAAGCGAAAGUGACGGUACCUGCAGAAGAAGCACCGGCCAACUACGCGCCAGCAGCCGC